AGAGUUUGAUCCUGGCUCAGGAUGAACGCUGGCGGCGUGCCUAACACAUGCAAGUCGAACGGGAAUCUUCGGAUUCUAGUGGCGGACGGGUGAGUAACGCGUAAGAAUCUAACUUCAGGACGGGGACAACAGUUGGAAACGACUGCUAAUACCCGAUGUGCCGCAAGGUGAAACCUAAUUGGCCUGGAGAAGAGCUUGCGUCUGAUUAGCUAGUUGGUGGGGUAAGAGCCUACCAAGGCGACGAUCAGUAGCUGGUCUGAGAGGAUGAGCAGCCACACUGGGACUGAGACACGGCCCAGACUCCUACGGGAGGCAGCAGUGGGGAAUUUUCCGCAAUGGGCGAAAGCCUGACGGAGCAACGCCGCGUGAGGGAGGAAGGUCUUUGGAUUGUAAACCUCUUUUCUCAAGGAAGAAGUUCUGACGGUACUUGAGGAAUCAGCCUCGGCUAACUCCGUGCCAGCAGCCGCGGUAAUACGGGGGAGGCAAGCGUUAUCCGGAAUUAUUGGGCGUAAAGCGUCCGCAGGUGGUCAGCCAAGUCUGCCGUCAAAUCAGGUUGCUUAACGACCUAAAGGCGGUGGAAACUGGCAGACUAGAGAGCAGUAGGGGUAGCAGGAAUUCCCAGUGUAGCGGUGAAAUGCGUAGAGAUUGGGAAGAACAUCGGUGGCGAAAGCGUGCUACUGGGCUGUAUCUGACACUCAGGGACGAAAGCUAGGGGAGCGAAAGGGAUUAGAUACCCCUGUAGUC
This 744-nucleotide ribosomal RNA is filed under the name Microcystis sp. LEGE 08331. RNAcentral's name for it is "bacterial SSU rRNA". It matches the Rfam family "Bacterial small subunit ribosomal RNA", at positions 8 to 795 of the family's 1533-position model. The record is from RNAcentral. Lineage: Bacteria; Bacillati; Cyanobacteriota; Cyanophyceae; Chroococcales; Microcystaceae.